RNAcentral lists this small RNA (112 nucleotides) under Arabidopsis thaliana (thale cress). Its description in RNAcentral is "ATSL273330". Lineage: Eukaryota; Viridiplantae; Streptophyta; Magnoliopsida; Brassicales; Brassicaceae. The record is from RNAcentral.
UCAGAAAAUGAUUUCACAAAAAUAGAGUGUUCAUGUAGUUGCAUUGCAUUUAGGAUCGAGUCUAGAGUGUUUCAUUUAGGAUUGUUGCAUAUGCAUAGGGGAUAAUGAUGAU